CGUGGAUCCCUGAUGUUAUUGUUUACUGCGUUAUCUUUCUCGAACUUCUAAGUAAUGAGGAAAGCAUUACCUACUGAGAUCCAAG
Molecule: non-coding RNA, 85 nt
Organism: Triticum urartu
Lineage: Eukaryota; Viridiplantae; Streptophyta; Magnoliopsida; Poales; Poaceae
Source: Rfam